AUGAACGCUGGCGGCGUGCCUAAUACAUGCAAGUCGAGCGAACGGACGAGAAGCUUGCUUCUCUGAUGUUAGCGGCGGACGGGUGAGUAACACGUGGAUAACCUACCUAUAAGACUGGGAUAACUUCGGGAAACCGGAGCUAAUACCGGAUAAUAUUUUGAACCGCAUGAUUCAAAAGUGAAAGACGGUCUUGCUGUCACUUAUAGAUGGAUCCGCGCUGCAUUAGCUAGUUGGUAAGGUAACGGCUUACCAAGGCAACGAUGCAUAGCCGACCUGAGAGGGUGAUCGGCCACACUGGAACUGAGACACGGUCCAGACUCCUACGGGAGGCAGCAGUAGGGAAUCUUCCGCAAUGGGCGAAAGCCUGACGGAGCAACGCCGCGUGAGUGAUGAAGGUCUUCGGAUCGUAAAACUCUGUUAUUAGGGAAGAACAUAUGUGUAAGUAACUGUGCACAUCUUGACGGUACCUAAUCAGAAAGCCACGGCUAACUACGUG
RNAcentral lists this ribosomal RNA (496 nucleotides) under uncultured bacterium. RNAcentral describes it as "partial 16S ribosomal RNA". It matches the Rfam family "Bacterial small subunit ribosomal RNA", at positions 29 to 507 of the family's 1533-position model. The record is from RNAcentral.